Molecule: long non-coding RNA, 1373 nt
Filed under: Equus asinus (donkey)
Lineage: Eukaryota; Metazoa; Chordata; Mammalia; Perissodactyla; Equidae
Description: lncRNA (ENSEASG00005025187.1)
Source: RNAcentral
GAAGAAGGACUGGAGUGAAAGAGCUGAGGCUGCAGGAAGGUGGUGCAGGCGAACCACAGACAGUGCCUGCCGCUCACUGUGUCCGCCUGGAAAGUGCUAAAUGCAUUGUGAACGUGUGUUACAAAUUAUUACCGUUACUAGACUGGGUAUGCUUCCAUGAAGGAAGGAACCAGACCCACCAUCUCAAAUUGGGCAUUUUCACCAUUCUCGGCCUCAUUUGACCUUCACAACAAUCCUUUGGGGAAGGUACUCUUGUUAUCUCCCUCUUGGAAUUGAGGAAACCGAUGCACAGAGAGGGUGUCCUGCUCAAGUUCACACACAGCUCCAGAAGCCGGGUGUCAAACCCAUUCAGGUCCUUCCUGCUGUCAUUUUGAGGUGUCUCAGAACCUCCCAGAAUUCUUUACUUUUGCUAGGCCCGAUCUGUUUCUUCGUGGUUACCAGCAGCGAAACAACUACUAUGAAAGGAAAGGAGGCCACGGGCUUGUUUUGGAGGGAACAAGACUGGGCAGAAGAAGGGGCCCCACCGCCUGGCUCUGCAGGAGAAUCUUGACAUGGACUCCAAGGGGCCACGGGGAAGGGAGAGAAGCAGAGCCAAAUCCUGAGGAUUUCCUUUUCACUUUUUUAGCUAAAUCUCCAUACAGCUGAGAACUCAGGCCUUCCAGGACUGGAUCCUCCAGCCCUGUCCUUACCCUCCCAGGGUACUGGGUCUCAAAUCCCAGUCUUCCAGCUGUGGGACAGGCCCAGCCUGCAGGUUUUUCCUCCAGAGCCAAGUUCCAGGAGCCAAGGCCCCUUGAGUGAAAGCAACACGUGUAAAGAGCGUCUGACUCGGAACUAGACCUGGAGCUGCCUUCCCAAGAUGUGCAGGGCCAGGACCAGCCCUUGUCCUGCCCCUGGUGGGGGUGACAUUCUCUGCUCUCACUCACUCCUUUCUCCAGAAUGACACCUCUAGUCUCACCAUUACUGCAGUCCUUUGGGAUAAGCACUCGGGUUAAGCGCCUUGCAAUGAGUCUGCGGGGAGAUGACAUGAAAUCUCAAAUACCUUCAUGGGCAUUUAUCCCCUCAAGGGCGUGUGGGGGUGAAUAUGCUAUUCCAGGAGCUGCAAGGGGUUGGGGGUGGCACAGGAAGAGGUAAGGGUAGAAAACACUGGAGAAACAGGUCCCAAUCUGGCCUGGGGGGCAGGACCUGGAGAACAGGCGGUAGAACUUGGAAGAAAAAAGGAACUGAAUCAGGUGCUUUUUUAUGAGACCAUUACAUUUUCAGCAACACCACUGCUGGAGAGUUGGUCUGCUUUUAGAACCGGAUGAAGGCAGUGCUGUCAGGGUUUGGUGCUCUGGGAGAGGCCACCUGGGGUCUGCACGUGUCUUCUCCCCCCA